UUAUUAUCAUUAUCAUUAUUAUUAUUUAUUACAUUUUUAUUAUUAUUACCCUUUUAUUUUAUUUUAUAUUUUUCUCUUAUUUAUUUGCUUAUUUUCAAACUUUUCUCUUAUCUUAUUAUUUAAAAUUUUUAUUAAUUUUCAUUUAUUCACUUAUUGUCUCUUAUUAGCCUUUUAUACACUUAUCUAUUUUAUUGAUUAUUCUUUUCGCUCUUGCUAUUGUUGUUUAUAUCAUCGCGUUUAUUACCCUAUUAUGCAUAUGUAUACUACGAAUUUGUGUUACAUUAACCCUUACCUAAAUGCGUAAAAAAGGAAUUUUCAAAAAUAAGGGAAUGUUUCAAAUUUUGGAAAUAUGAGAAAAUCAUACCCUAACUUACGGGGUUUCAAUUUUUCUCAUUAAACCUAAAUAGCCAAAUAUCCUUUCAAAUUUCAAAAUAUAUGAAUUUUAAAUAAAAAUAAAGGCAAUAUUUCAUGUUUGGGAAUUCGAGAUAUCAUGCCCUAAUGUAUUGGGUUUCGAUUUUUCUUGUUUGACCCAAAUGAUCGAAUAUCAUUUUAAAUUAAAACGCAUGAAUUUUGAAAAUCAAAAGACAAGCUUAUUCUCGAGAGUUUAAAAUGUCGUGUCCUAACGUACUAGAUGUGACAUUUUAUUACUUCGGGACAAGAAGGUCUUUAACAUCCCUUUCGAUUUAUCCAAGCAUUUUUGUUUAACUAACAUUAAUAAAAAGAGAGUAUCGUAUUUUAAAUUCUUUUCGAGUUUUCAACUUUCGACGUUUAGACAUUGAUUAAUCAAUUAGGUACCAAUUUUGGGCGUUACGAGGGUGCUAAUCCUUCCUCGUACGUAAGCGACUCCCGAACUUGUUUUCUCAAAUUUUGUAGACCAAAAUUGUUAUUUUAGUAAAUCAAAAUGUUUUAUUAAAACGAUCGAUCAUGAGGUGACCUGAUCACACCUCAUCAAAAAAGAUUGGUGGUGACUCCCUUUUCAUUUUCAAAAUAAAAUGUCGACCUCGUUUUUCAAACACAAAACAAAGAGGUUUCGACAGCUUGGCGACUCUGCUGGGGAAUACUAAUAAGAGAGUCAAGCCAUAAUUUGAUUAAUUUUUGUCUUUUCAUCGAAAAUUGAAAAUUCGGUUUAAAAUACGAUCCUUUCACUACAUUUCAUCCCUCAUUUUUGUGGUCUUGGUCAAAACAUUUGUUUUAUUGGUUCGAGUCUUUAGAUGUAUUCGCAUAUUGCAUUGCAUGAUCGUUCGAUCUACCCUUUUAAGUGGGAGUGAGAAACUAUUCCUUCGUGAGGUCUUCGCUUUCGUGUAGGAUAGUGGAUCGCUUUCGGGAUACAUCCGUACCUAUUUCUUCGUGAGAUUUUCAUCUCUAUAUAGCCAUAGGGAAAUGUAUUCCCCUGAACUGAACUCGGUCCGUAUAAGCUUAUAAUAGGUGAGGAUCGAGGAAUCUGCUAGUUCAGAUACCUUUUUCUUUAAAACCAAACCACAUAUAGUGAGCCUUAGGAGCCCACCCUAGGUAGAACCACCAACCCCUAGAGGUCAUCCGAAUAGGUGCUCUAUUUGUUGUUUAUUUCUUCUGUACUAACGUGUUUUGUUUUGUUUAUGAUUGCAUUGCAUUGCAUCGUCAUAGAAAAGAGGUGUUGAUUCAUGUUUAGUUGCUAAAUAGAGAGCUUGUCAUGAAAAAUAGAUUUCUUGAUAAAGUGGAAUAUAAUACGGUCGUCCGAAUAUGGUCCGAGUAAACACAACGAGAGAAGGCUGAUAGUCUGUAGCGGAAUAUAUGACUAUGUUUCACUGCCCGAGGAUUCAAGCUGACAAAGAUUAUUCGAGAGUCGUCAACAUUUUUAAAGAAGCUAACAAGCCUUACGGGGAUGCGUGAGCAAUGGAUCACAGCCUGGAUCAAAGCAAAAAAGAGCUAGUAGAGGCGUCCAUUGGGAAGUUCGUGAGAUUUGAUCUUAACAUCCGGAUAUGAAGGGAUCGAUGACUUCGCCUAGAGUAUGAGGGCAAGGCCGUAUAUAUUUCCGCUUUAUGUAAAGAGAUUUGUUAUUUAGAAAAUUUGUUCUAACAGAAUUGAAUCAGAAUCAACGUCUCUUUUUGCACUCAUUUCAUGCAUCUGCAUUGCAUUUCAUCAUAUGCAUUAAAUGUCACAAAUGAGCCUUAAUUAGUUAAAAACUAUUUCAGUUAAUCUGGAAACCGACAAAAACCUACCAAGCACUCAUCGUUACGGAACUUGAAGAAAAACUAAAGUGAUGGAUAAAAGACUAGAAAGGUUGGAACAAAUGCAGAAGGAGAUGCAAGAACAGAUGCAAGCACAAAUGCAAGAGCAAUUGGCUAAAAUCCAGCAGGAUAUGAGGGACCAAAUGCUGGAAUCACAAAGAAACAUGAUGAACCAGCUAACACAACUAUUGACCAGUGGGCCAGACAAAGGAAAGGGUCCUAUGGUCAAUAUUGGGGAUGAUAAUGAAGAUCCUCUCUACCCCCUUGGUUUCACCCCGACAAAUGCUUAAACGCAACCCGAGAUGUACACGCGAAGGCCAUCCGUUACAAUUAGGCCCCAACAAUUUCAGGCCGGUGCCUCGACGCCAAUCAACUAUCAAGCAGGCUCAGGCUUUAAUCCAGGGGACAACCCAAUUAAUUCUGUAGUCCCUGAUCUGGAUGAAAUGGUAGAAGCCGGAAGAGCGAGAGUGGAGCUCCCUAAACAAUUAGAAAACCGAUGCAGGUGGUUAAAGGAGAAGUUCAAAGCGAUGGAGAGUGUUAACUAUCACUAUGGGAUAGAUGCUAAAGAUUUGAGCUUGGUUCUAGACCUUGUACUUCCCCCCAAGCUCAAGACUCUUGAGUUCGAGAAGUAUAACAGGACUAGCUGCCCUGAAGCUCAUAUUACCAUGUUUUGUAGACGGAUGACUGGGCACGUCAACAAUGAUCAGCUAUUGAUCCACUACUUCCAAGACAGUCUGGUUGGGGCAGCAUCCAAAUGGUACAACCAAUUGAGCCGUACUAAGAUCAACUCAUGGAAAGACCUAGCUUAAGCUUUCAUGAAACAGUGUAGUCACGUCACGGAUAUGACCCCGGACAGGAUUAUCUUGCAGAACAUGGAAAAGAAACCGAAUGAGAGCUUUCGAUAAUACGCCUAAAGGUGGAGGGAGGUUGCAAUACAAGUCCAGCGACCUCUCCUAGAAAAAGGGACCACCAUGCUAUUCAUCAAUACUUUAAACGCUCCAUUCAUCACUCAUAAGUUAGGGAGCGCCACUAAAAGCUUCUCAAAUAUAGUGAUGACUGGCGAAAUGAUUGAGAACGCGAUAAGAAGAUGCAAAAUAGAGACAAGGGAUAGUACCAAGAGGUUAGCCCCAAGGAAAAGGGAGAAUGAGGUGAACAACCUGAGCACAUAUAGCAAAGGUCAUUCCAAGUCACUUACUGUAAACCAACUGAAGACGGUAACUGUUAACCACCAGAACACCCCAAGAUAAGAAGCCGAUACAAAGACAAAUACUGAAAGGAUACGGUUCACACCUAUACCUAUGAUGUAUAGGGAGCUAUAUCAAAACCUAUUCGAUGCGCAUGUGGUGUCCCCUUUUUACCUAGAACCAAUCAACCUCCUUUUCCCAAAUGGUACGACGCAAAUGCUCAGUGCGAGUACCAUACUUUUUAAAAAAAUAUUAAAUUAAUUUAUUUGAUAAGAAAAAAAAUUUUAUUCAAGAAGAAUUGUUACUUUUUUACGUUUGAAAAAAAGCGUUCGGAUUCUAAUAUUAUCGAUUACAACUACAGUGGCCCAAACCAAAAAACAAACGGAUUAGCAUGCCUAUCUCCCAUUGGGGGAGGUUGUACCACCGCAAGGGCCCCAAAAUUAGGUAAUAGAUGUCGAGAAAGACGAGCCAAUCCAUCAUGCAUGAUCACAUCAAAACCUCAAUCUCUUCUGUUUCGACAGCAAACCAAUGAGGCAGCGAGUACAAGUGACUCUAGAAGCAUUCCAAACAAAAAAACUCGAAUAGCAGAAGAAAAUGCCCCCAAAAGGAUUCUUGGGUCCCUUUAAUUUGGUGUAAUUUCUUAUAAGACCCUUGAAAUAUUAUAAAAUCCUAUUAAGAAAUAAGAAAAAUUUAUAUUCGCAACCUAAUUUUUUACUUAUCUUAAACUACAUUGUAAAGUGUGUAAUUGGAAGUUUGCUAUUAUAAUUUUGUAAACAAUUUUUGUAACACCUUCUACCCGUAUCCGUUGCCGGAAUAGGGUACGAGACAUUACCAGAGUUUACUGAGCAUUUUCAGAUAAUUCUGAAUAAUUUAUUAUUCAUAUUCUGAAAAUAAUCAUAAUGUCCCUCUAUUGGGCCCUUAAAGCCCAAAACAUAAAUUUAAACAAUCAAUUCACAUUCAUGUCACAUAAAUGUAUAAUUUAAACAUUCAAUAACUCAAUUCAAGUUGCACGAACUUACUUCAUUGCUUAUUCGUAUUUAUAGUUUUACUAAUCCGAAAACUUUUUCUUUUUUCACGUUCAAGUCUCAUAUUUGAGCCACCCAAAUCUUUAUAAAUAAAUUUGAUCAUCAUUUUUAUUUAUUUCAUAUUCUAAUACAUUCAAUUAAUCUCUAGGAAAAAUUACCAUUUUACCCCUAAACUUUUGAUUAAUGACGAUUUCAUCCUUAGACAAAGAAAAAUAAAGUUCUUGUAAUUAAAUCCUUGUUUCAAACCUAAUUAUUCUUAUAUAUAUUGAUAAAACCCCAUAAAUUCUAUAAAAUAACAAAAUUUUCCACAAUUUCAACACUUUUUAAUUUAAUCCCUAAAACAUGUUUUCACCCGAUCUUGAUCUAAAUUAAUAGUUUCAUUCAAUUUUAUAAUUUAAAUAAUAAAAUAAUUCAUUUCCUUCAUUUUGUCAUUUUUGACAUUUUUAAAAAAUUGCCCCUAUAGUUUUUCUUUUAUUCAAUUUAGUCCCUGAGUCUAAAACAUACAAAUUAUCCAUUUUAAAUGUAAACCUAUUAAGGGUGGCAACAAACAACAGUAUGUAUGUUACCCGGAUGAAAUAUGAAAUACUUCUCUAAAUUUUUCAUCCCAUUUGCUUCUGUUCGUUUGUUUACAACUCCUAAGUCUUUGAAUCUCAAACUUACUUCAUACUUCAUCCGGAAUUAUUACCUUGUUGCUCUAACUUCAACAAGAGCUUCAUAUUUCAUCCGGAAUAAUUUCUUUGUUGCUCUAGCUUUAACAAGAGCUUCAUAUUUUAUCCGGAUAACUUAGUUAUGUUUUUCUUCCUGUGUGAAAAACCCAACAAAACCUUUGCUAGCUGAAAAUUCAUAUAUUUAUUUUCCUCCUCCUCCUCUCCAUUCCACAUCCUAAAUGUAUAUAGCAUUCUUAUAAGUAACAUUAUCUAUGAUCUCACUAUUUACUUAUAAAUUUUUUUAAAGCUUUCCAUUCGUGUCAUAGUCACUAAAUUAUUUUUAAUUUGAGCUACAGAGAUCCAAAUUAAGAUCUGUGAAUUUUCCCUGAAACUUGACUCACAUAUCUUUCCACCAUAAAAUUUUCAUAAUUUUUGGUUUAGCCAAUUAGUACAGUUUAUUCAUUAAAUUUUCCCCUGUUUCACUAUCCGAUAGUUCUGACCUCUCUUCACUUAAAAUUAAUUAUCUCACAAUACAGAACUCGGAUAAUGUUCUAAUUGGUUUAUCUUGAAAAUAGACUCAUUAAGGAUUCUAAAAAUAUAAUUUUGAGCCCUAAUUAUUUUUCUCCAAAUUUUUGUGAUUUUCCAAAGUCAGAAUAGGGGAACCCGAAUUCAUUCUGACCUUAUCUCACAAAAUUUAUUAUAUCUCAUAACUUACAAUUCAAUUGCUUACACCGUUUCUUCUAUAAUAAACUAGACUCAAUAAUCUUUAAUUCAAUAUUUUUUUCAUCCUCUGAUUAAAUUUCUACAAUUUAUGGUGAUUUUUCAAAGUUAACCUACUGCUGCUGUCCAGAACUGUUUUAGUUCAAGAUGUUUAUUACCAUUUUUCCUCUAAAUUUCACUGGUCAUACAAUUCAGUCCUUGCUCAAUUAGCCUAUCACUUAAGCUAAUUUUUAUCAAUUAACAUUUUAUUCCAUCAUUAUAAACUAUUACACAACCUUUAAAAAUCAUAAUUUCAACACUAAACCUUAAUUCACAACUUUUUCACAAUUAGGUUCUAAAAUCAAUUUCUAUUGAAAUUACUUGAUAAAAUCAUCAAACAACAAAGUAAAAGCUUCAAAUCUAUUUUAGUUCAUCAUAAACAGCCAACACUUAUCAAUGGUAGCUUUCAAUUUUGUCCAUAAAAUCAAAAACUAAUGAAUUAAACACUUGGACCUAAUUGUAAAAGUCACAAAAACAUAAAAAUCUCAAAGAAAGGGCAAGAAUUGAACUCACAUAUGUUAAACUAUGAAAAACAGCAACUUUCAGACCUCCCAUGGCGUUUUUGC
This 6388-nucleotide long non-coding RNA is filed under the name Gossypium barbadense (sea-island cotton). Its description in RNAcentral is "long non-coding RNA (GBAR_LNC002696)". The record is from RNAcentral. Lineage: Eukaryota; Viridiplantae; Streptophyta; Magnoliopsida; Malvales; Malvaceae.